Molecule: ribosomal RNA, 400 nt
Filed under: uncultured bacterium
Lineage: Bacteria
Description: bacterial SSU rRNA
Rfam family: Bacterial small subunit ribosomal RNA
Source: RNAcentral
UGAGGAAUAUUGGACAAUGGGCGAAAGCCUGAUCCAGCGAUCCCGCGUGGAGGAUGACGCAUUAUGGUGUGUAAACUCCUUUUUUGAAGGAAGACGAAUGACGGUACUUCAAGAAUAAGUGACGGCUAACUAUGUGCCAGCAGCCGCGGUAAUACAUAGGUCACAAGCGUUAUCCGGAGUUACUGGGCGUAAAGCGUUCGUAGCCGGUAUAGUAAGUCUGUCUUCAAAUUCUCCGACUUAAUCGGAGGCAGGGGAUGGAUACUGCUAUGCUAGAGGUAUUGGGAGGUUAGUGGAAUUUCCGGUGUAGAGGUGAAAUUCGUUGAUAUCGGAAAGAACGCCAAAAGCGAAAGCAGCUAACUAUCAAUAUCCUGACGGUAAUGAACGAAAGCUUGGGUAGCAA